AACGCACCUUGCGCUCCUUGGUAUUCCGAGGAGCAUGCCUGUUUGAGUGUCAUUUUAUUCUCAAACCCAUCCAGCUUUGUCUGGUGUGGUGGUUUGGAUGUGGGGGUAUCAUGCGGGCCUCUUCAGAGGUCAGCUCCCCUGAAAUGCAUUAGCGGAACUGUUUGCGGGUCCCGCCUCUGGUGUGAUAACUAUCUAAACCAAGGCGACCGCUCUCUGUAGUUUUGCUUCUAAUAGUCCUUUAUGUUGGACAGCAAUACAUUGAACACUUGACCUCAAAUCAGGUAGGACUACCCGCUGAACUUAA
Molecule: unclassified non-coding RNA, 304 nt
Filed under: uncultured Agaricales
Lineage: Eukaryota; Fungi; Basidiomycota; Agaricomycetes; Agaricales
Description: sequence contains 5.8S rRNA gene, ITS2, 28S rRNA gene
Rfam family: 5.8S ribosomal RNA (bases 1-52)
Source: RNAcentral